GGGUUCAUUCCCGUCGUUCG
This 20-nucleotide transfer RNA is filed under the name Rhizophora mucronata. RNAcentral describes it as "partial tRNA-His". Lineage: Eukaryota; Viridiplantae; Streptophyta; Magnoliopsida; Malpighiales; Rhizophoraceae. The record is from RNAcentral.